AUUGAACGCUGGCGGCAGGCUUAACACAUGCAAGUCGAGCGGUAACAGAGAGAAGCUUGCUUCUCUGCUGACGAGCGGCGGACGGGUGAGUAAUGCCUAGGAAUCUGCCUAGGAGUGGGGGAUAACUUGCCGAAAGGUAAGCUAAUACCGCAUACGUCCUACGGGAGAAAGGAGGGGACCUUCGGGCCUUUCGCUAUUAGAUGCGCCUAAGUCGGAUUAGUUAGUUGGUGAGGUACUGGCUCACCAAGACCGCGAUCCGUAACUGGUCUGAGAGGAUGAUCAGUCACACUGGAACUGAGACACGGUCCAGACUCCUACGGGAGGCAGCAGUGGGGAAUAUUGGACAAUGGGGGGAACCCUGAUCCAGCCAUGCCGCGUGUGUGAAGAAGGUCUUAGGAUUGUAAAGCACUUUAAGUUGGGAGGAAGAGCAGUUAACUAAUAUUUGACUGUUUUGACGUUACCGACAGAAUAAGCACCGGCUAACUUCGUGCCAGCAGCCGCCGUAA
Molecule: ribosomal RNA, 506 nt
Filed under: uncultured bacterium
Lineage: Bacteria
Description: partial 16S ribosomal RNA
Rfam family: Bacterial small subunit ribosomal RNA
Source: RNAcentral